This is a long non-coding RNA of Oncorhynchus tshawytscha (Chinook salmon), 1847 nucleotides long. Lineage: Eukaryota; Metazoa; Chordata; Actinopteri; Salmoniformes; Salmonidae. The record is from Ensembl.
AUACAACUCCAAGUUCAAUACAACUCCAAGUCCAAUACAACUCCAAGUCCAAUACAACUCCAAGUCCAAUACAACUCCAAGUCCAAUAGAACUCCAAGUCCAAUAGAACUCCAAGUCCAAUACAACUCCAAGUCCAAUACAACUCCAAGUCCAAUAGAACUCUAAGUCUAAUGCAACUCUAAGUCUAAUGCAACUCUAAGUCUAAUGCAACUCCAAGUCUAAUGCAACUCCAAGUCUAAUGCAACUCCAAGUCUAAUGCAACUCCAAGUCCAAUAGAACUCCAAGUCCAAUAGAACUCCAAGUCCAAUAGAACUCCAAGUCCAAUACAACUCCAAGUCUAAUGCAACUCUAAGUCUAAUGCAACUCUAAGUCUAAUGCAACUCCAAGUCCAAUACAACUCCAUGUCUAAUGCAACUCUAAGUCUAAUGCAACUCCAAGUCUAAUGCAACUCCAAGUCUAAUGCAACUCCAAGUUCAAUACAACUCCAAGUCCAAUAUAACUCCAAGUCCAAUACAACUCCAAGUCCAAUACAACUCCAAGUCUAAUGCAACUCCAAGUCUAAUGCAACUCCAAGUCUAAUGCAACUCCAAGUCUAAUGCAACUCCAAGUCUAAUGCAACUCCAAGUCCAAUAGAACUCCAAGUCCAAUGCAACUCCAAGUCUAAUGCAACUCCAAGUUCAAUACAACUCCAAUAUAACUCCAAGUCCAAUAUAACUCCAAGUCUAAUAGAACUCCAAGUCCAAUAGAACUCCAAGUCCAAUACAACUCCAAGUCUAAUGCAACUCCAAGUCUAAUGCAACUCCAAGUCCAAUACAACUCCAAGUCCAAUACAACUCCAAGUCUAAUAGAACUCCAAGUCCAAUACAACUCUAAGCCAAUACAACUCUAAGCCAAUACAACUCCAAGUCCAAUACAACUCCAAGUCUAAUACAACUCCAAGUCCAAUAGAACUCCAAGUCCAAUAGAACUCCAAGUCUAAUACAACUCCAAGUCCAAUACAACUCCAAGUCCAAUAUGACACUCAUCUGUUUUGUUAUCUGUCCUUCUGUCCUGGAGCGAUAGAGAUGUGUUUAGAAUAAGCCAUUGUUAGUGACCGUUGUUUAUAUUAUUUUUUUAAGCGGACAGAACCAAAAUGGAACACAGCAACUGACAAGACCCAUGGUGCAACGGUGCCUGGCCGCUGUGACAGCCGUUGUGAUGGGAUGCUACAUUAUUAUAUUAUUUUCCCAGAAUGCAUUUGCAUUGUGCACGGACCCUACUCCUCAUCCACCAGUCAAUCUAUUGCUGUUAUGGCUUUGGGAAAUACUGGAGUGACUCUAUGAAACCUGCUCAGUGUAAAACAACAUGGGACAGAAGGAGAACAAGGAAGGGAAAGAAAAUAAAUUGUGUUGCAUGCUCAGAAAUGUAAUAGAUCAAGAAAACUCUAUGUGAAAAUCGGGGACUUUAGUGAAAAGAAAAUGACUAACAUAAAAAUUCCUCAUUGCUUAUUAUGCUAAUUUAACUGGGCCAGAAUUACAUAUCAUGAUAAUGUCCUUUGGAGGAUUUCAAUAAUAUAGCACGUUUCAUGUAAUAACCAUCAAAACCAAAAAUCUAAAGAUACUAGUGCAAAACAAUAAAGAUCAUAUAACAACAUCAUUAAAGCAAAAUUACUUGGCAGAAAAGAAGAGCGGCAGGAUAGCAGUUUAGCAUGUGGUGGGACAGAAGGAUGGCUAAACUCUCAUGGCGUCACAGGAAUGAUUUCAGGGGUGGACCUUUGGAAUAGGGGUAAUAAUAAACAUAUUUCACAUCAAUCCAAAUGGCGUUCUUAGAGUGGAUAAUCACACAAAACAUCUUCCAUUUCAUUUUCA